AGAACAUUCUACAGAAAGCAUUUGUGAUGGCCUCUUGCCCUUGAGGAGCCGUGCCCCGCAUCUUUGGACCUUGGUUCCCAGGACCUACCAACAUGAUCCCAUCUUGGAUUUAGGUUUCUAGCUCCUUGGCCAGAGUCUGAGGGAAUAAUGAAAUCAAUACACUCAAUCCAUAUUGUGCAUAUGGUUUUGAACUCUAGGUUUGGGGGUUCUGAGGUGCAACCCAAUCAAAAGGGCCUGUUAACAGCACCAUUUGUGAGAGAGAUUUCUAGGUUGGAUGUUUGUCUUCUGCAGUUGACUUCGAUUAUCUGUCUCUGGUGGGCCCAGAACAAAAAGUUUUGGUAAGGCAAAACUAGGCUCUGAUUUUGUAGGCAUGGCAUUCAUUAUGUAAGCGUACAGGUCUAUGUUUCAAAAUGAAAAAUAACAAUAAUAAUUAAAGUUUCUCUAGGCUUCUUGUGUCCAAACCACUCUUGCAAAAUCACCUUUGGAUGAGCUUUAAGUGUCAGCAAAUCAGAAACAUGUGGAUUUAAUUUCCUUUGAAAUACACCAGGGGACCAAGGGGCAACAGGGCUUGGCAACCAGCUUCUUAGGGUUUGCCAAACCCCAAAUACCUCACACUCUGGAAGAGCUGUCCCGCUGGCCCCCAGCAGUCUUAUCUGGCCAGUCCAGCCGCUGCAUUUCUUGCUAUCCCAACUAGGUUUUCUCUAACCAUUAGGCUGUUCUCUUGGUCCAUUUUAGCUGCCAGAAGGACACUGUUAACACCACCCACAUGCAUAACAGAACUUUGGAAGAGGGACCAGACUGCAAUGAGGUGUCAGGUUGGCUUCAGUCUUAUCUGGACGAACAGGCCAUCUUUGCAGCCAUUACUAUGUCUUUAAAACCCAAACCAACUGUGAGAGAGGUUUUUCCAACUUGACUUCUAGAUGGGAAAAUAUUUUGCUUUUAUGGUGGAUGAUGGUAUUGGGCCCCAAAUAUAUUAGGUUUCAUGAUCAUCCAUCACUCAUGCAUAUAAUAUGAAACAUGUCCAUACUCUGCAAAGACCACAGCCACCCCGCCAUUAGGUUCCAAGGUAAAUAUAGGCCCACAAACCUCCUGGAGAAACAGAGAAGUUUCCUUCGAGGAGAGGAACCACAGUUGUGUAGUUGUGAUGCAUCUCUGAAACCCCUAUCCCUAUCCCCUGGUCUACUCUACCCAAAGAGUAAGGAUAUGCCAAUAGAUCUGUGUCGUUCUCUGGCCCAUCGUUUUUCUUUCUUGGUAUUAAUGCUUCUCUUUUUCUGUUCUAUAUUUUCUAUGUCUUGUGUCUCUUUUGCCUUAAAUACCAAUGUACAUUUAAUGCAAAGGGCCAACUGAAGCUUUAAAAAGUACUUUUCACAUCCGAAACAACUAAUGCUUUAGUGCCUGUGUGUCAUAUGUUUACAUAUACUGACUUCUUUGUUAUCCUUAUCUUACUGAAGGGGCAACAGAGGCAGCGCCAGAGAGACAGAGUAACCUACACAUCACACAACCAGUAAAUAAAAGCUCAACCUUGAUUUCUGGCCACUGGGCUCCAGAAAUGGUGUUCUAUCCAGGGCUCAAUGCUGUCUCCUACUCCAUUGUUUUGUAUGUCAAGUUGACUGGCCCAUGAGGUGCCCAGAUGUUGGUCAAGCAUUAUUCUGUUUUCAUGGAGGAUGUUUGGGGAUGAGAUUAACAUUUAAAUUGGUAGACUGAGUAAAGCAGACCCCCGGACCUUGUAGUGUGUGUGUGGACCUCAUCCAAUCAGUUGAAGGCCUUAACAGAACAAAAAUACUGAUUCUCCCCUGAGUAAGAGGUACUUCUCUUGCCUGUCCUAUUGAGCUGGGACAUUGGCUUUCUUCUGCUUGAACUUGAACCGAAGAAAUAUCAGCUCUUCUGGGGUGUUGAGCCUACUGGCAUUGGGUUAGAACUUCACACCUGGUUCUCCUGGUUCUCAGGCCUUUGGAGUUGGACUGAAAAUACACCAUUGGCUCCCCUGAGUGUCUAGCUUGCCAACUCACCCUGCAGAUCUUAGGACUUGUCAGCUUACAUAAUGACACAAGCCAGUCCCUUAUAAUAUCUCUGUUUCCGUCUAUCUGUCUAUCUCUAUUUACCCUAUUGGUUCUAUUUCUCCAAAGAACCCUAAUACAAACUUUUCUUAUUGAAUUUGCCAGGCAAUCCUGUGGAGGUGGAGGUGAUGGAUCAUCGCUGCUUGCCAGACGAGGAAAAACCUAGAACAUGUUCAUUUUAUCCAUGCACGUGUACCUGUACACAUAUAUGCACACACAUAUACACACCUGAAUUCAGGACAAAGAGCAAAAUCAAGGUCCACGCAUUUCUUAUUCAGCACUUCUUCCCCAAGGCAUCCACAGAGCAGCCACAGUUGGCAUCGUUAGGUUUUUCCAGACCUUCUCGCAGAAAACUCUGCCUGGAGUAUCGGGUGACAGAGGAACCACUGCUAUUUUGUUUGUUCUUCAAAUUCCAUAUUGUAAAUUCCAGCCAAAAAAACCAACGAAGUAAAGAAUUGGGAACCUUGCAAGUUCCCACCUGGAAACAGUGAAUAUAGGGAAUGGAUCCCUGAGGGUACAAUUACCUCUGAACAAUUGGGUGCUGAGCUGGACAAGGAUAUCUGGCUAGUGGAAUUUUUGUGCAAAAAUCUUUUAUCUUUGUUAGCUCAUGUAAACUCCAAGGCCAUUCACUGUGUCAAGACUAUUGACACUUAUCCUAGGUGUUUACUUUUCAAGGCUUUGUCUUUUAUAAAGCCACCCCAGCCUCAGGGUUAAGAAGAAAUCAGGUUCUCUACUCUCACCCCACCCCCUGCCUCUUGCUUUUACAGUAUCCACUGUGGCAGUCCAGGACAACAGGUGAGCUAGUAAACACUGAAGGUGUGUCCUGACUGUCCACUCAAAGCCAAGGUAGACUGGUGAUCCACUAACAUCUUCAACUGCUUGUACCGAGUGGUCAGAAACUCAGGAGGACAUGUCUGUGCCUUUCUACUGCUGUGUCUAAGCAGCAGAGGGGAAUUCUAUGCUGGGCUUUAGCAGCCUCAGGACCCUUGCAGCAUCCUCUGAACCUCCCUGCUCUCCAGCUUCCCACCCUGAGCUUUUUUUCUGUUGAAAGUGGCUGGGGGUGACGGGGGAAUGGUGCAUCCACUUGAGGCACACAACUCCCACGCACACCUCCCUCUGUUUCUGUGGGAGCUGAGAAGCUGGGGGCCGAGAAGGCUGGCUGGGAAGGAAAGGCUGGGACUGAUCCUGCAAAGAUGGGGCAGGAGGUGGUGCUUGUAAGCAGGGAGCUUUGGUUUUAAUGAAUAAAAUCUAAAAACCCCAAGUUCCCACCUGGGGACCUUGGGGUCAGUAGGUGGAAUCCAGUUUGGUCAAAGGGUAAUCAUUCUCAUCCUUUAACUGAAAACCUUCUCCCUCUCUCCCAACCCCCUAGCCCUAGAACAAUACUAUUUUCAAAAGGUUUGGUUUGGGCUUCACACGGUGCACUAGUUGUUGUGAGUGGCAAAGAAAAAAAAAAAAAAAAGAGCAUUUUCCAUUUAAAAAAUGAGCCUCAAAUUCACUAGUUCUUCCUCAAGCCAAAAGCUUCUGACUUGCACUGGCUUCUCUCUAAUGGAUAAUGGGUAGUUUUUCAUACUUUGAAAAACACUGCUUUUUUUUUUUUUUUUUUUUCCCCUCUCCGGUUGAGUAAGCUCUUGCAAGUGGGAUUAAACAAGAAACGCCAUUUCUCAUGGAAAUGGCUUUAUUUCCAUUAUACCCACACUGGCUUGUUUUCAGAGUGGCUCAGACGUGCUGGACAAUGUAUCCUGAAUUGAGGAAGAAAAGGGAGAUGGUUGAAACCUUUGCUUUGAGGGAAGAAACCCAGCAAAGAGAUCUAUUCAUUCGCAUUGACCUUGGAGAUAGAUAUCACGUAAUGCUACAGUUUAGGCCUAAUUAUUUGUGGAGGAGCAAGCAGGGCUCCUGUUCUGUGUUUUGUAGCCAUGGACCUCCCCUCUGCUGGGUGCCCCAGUAUCGGGUGCCGCUCACGAGCGGGCCGGGUGUGUUUGAUGGGUGCUGACACGGCCUGGUCACAUUCCCUCUCAACAGAGCUGUCCUUAGCAGCCAGCCUGGUGUCAUUGGUGAUGCCACAGAAUAACAUGUAUACCUGCCUGUAGGAUAACACCGGGUUUCUACCUGGUUCCCUUCUGAGAUACUUCCAGCCUGCAAGAGGAUCUGAUUGCACUUUAGAUUUACUUAGGUAGCCUUCACAAAUAUUGAUUCACGUUGAAACCUCCUAAAAGAAAUACACCUAGCUCCACCCCAGAUCAAUAUCAGAAUCAUGUGGGGAUGGAUCCUGGGCAUGAUCAA
RNAcentral lists this long non-coding RNA (4337 nucleotides) under Canis lupus familiaris (dog). Its description in RNAcentral is "lncRNA (ENSCAFG00000056860.1)". Lineage: Eukaryota; Metazoa; Chordata; Mammalia; Carnivora; Canidae. The record is from RNAcentral.